This is a long non-coding RNA of Taeniopygia guttata (zebra finch), 475 nucleotides long. RefSeq lists it as uncharacterized. The record is from RefSeq and is a predicted model, not a curated record. NCBI's taxonomy places the organism in Eukaryota, Metazoa, Chordata, Aves, Passeriformes, Estrildidae.
CUUGAUGUGGUCUGGGCAGGCACAGGGACACUUCUGGGCGAAGGAUGAGGCGGAGAAGCAGGAUUGGGGAUGCCAGUCAGGUGCUGUUGUUGAAUUUGGGGAAAGCAGAGAUGGAUUACUUGCCAGUGAAUUGUGCUGCAGAAAUGUGGAGACUCCUUGGCUGCCUCUCAGCAAGCCCCUGGAGGGAGGAGCAGAAUAUCCAAGUGUACGCUGGGCAGAGCAGGGGAAGGUGGGUCCAGCAGAGUGAAAUCAGCUUUUCAUCCUUCUCCACGCAUCAGCAGCUGGCAGCUACAUCUUCAGUGCCUUGUCAUGCUGACGGGUCUCCUGCAGGGAUUGCAUAGAUGUGUCCCUGGGGCUGCAGGACAUGCUGGGACUUCCAGAUGAACCUUUCCAGGCAGAAGCAGAGUGGUGUGCUCGCUGUGAUGAGGGAAGAGGCUGGGAGAAGCUCGCAUUUAAUAAAAAAGGCAUCAAGUAA